GUUAUUGGUGUUUAUUUUACAUCAUAAGGAUCAAGGUUGAUACCCUGGUGUGAGUGACAGAACAUACAGGUGACGUUUCCACACAACGACAGAUAAAAUAAUAAAUGUGUAAUUUCUGUCUUCCUUCUGUGAUUUCACUAUUUAACUCUACGCUUCUCGGAUAUUUUACUUCAUAAAGACAAAUCGUGGAAGUUUUUUAUUAUACUGUACUGUACUUCUGCCUUCAGGAAUUAUACCUCCCAUCAAGAAUUCUUUCUCUAAAUACAUACUCUUCUUAAUGCUAACCAAGUUCAUUUUGUAACUCCUGUAAUACUGUAUCUGUAUUUGAAUGAUGUCACAGCAAUGUUUUCUUGUGAUGUGCAUUACAGAGAGUGGCGAUGGUACGGUUCAUACGAGUUUGUAACACUCAAGUCGAUGGGGGAAAGUUUAUUAAUGCAUAAGACCUUGCCAACCUUAUGGUGUCUUUUAACUAAACAGGUGGCAUGCUAGGAACUCUCCCUUACUCCACCGAGAGGAUUCCAGCAUUUGCCGUCCUCUCUGUGUUGAUGGUCAUCCUGCUUGUGUGCUACUGGUACAGAUCCCGUCAUCGACCAAAACGACGACGCAACAGAUUUCAUAAAGUGGUGAUGGCUGCUAUCAAUGGCCGCCUGCCAUCGGUGUGACCCGCCCGCUUCAAGAAUUUGGCCUAAUUUUACAGUAACUUAAUAUAUAAAUAAUUAAUAGAGUGAAUGGGUUUAUUUAUUAUUUACAUUUUGCAUUACAGUAUUUUGUUAAUUUUGUAUUUUUUAACAGUUGAUAGCAUCAUUACUUAUUUUUUUUUACGUUAUUGUUGGAAGUGAUAGUUCGACAUUUACAGUUUUGUGUAAAUUACUGUACUGUACCGGCAGAAAAAGAGUAGAUUAUUGUAUGAAAUAAUUUGUUCAGUUUUAGAGUCUUCAAGUGGUUUCGUCUUUCCGUAUCGUCCGACAAUGAGCGAUGUUAAUUGUUAUGUUUUCAAUAAUGUAAAUAAGAGAUUAAUUCAUGUAAAUAUACAGUACAUGGAAUAGAUAAAAAAAAAUCAAGUCUAUUUUAGGCAACUAAGAAAAUAUAAAAUAUGUAAUUGUCAAGUUUGAUAAAAUAUCUUGACUAGAAAUAAUUUUUAGUAGAAUUUUAUAGUCUUUCAGGAGUGAUAGUUAUUGUGAUAAUGACAUCGUUAAUGGCUGCUUGAGUCGUUUGGGGGCAUUUUGAUCCAGUUAAACGGCUGACCUAUAGGAGAUGCCUUGUACUGUAAUCAGGGUCAAAUACACAAAGCUGACCAAUCACCAGUCAUGUCGCGUAACCGGAGCGGACCAUUUUGGUUUAAAGUUUGGUCAGGUGAGGUUGAUGACUAAGGUACUGUAUGUUAUUGAUCUACGGAUGAGUGAAGUGAGUGAUAUAGAACAGCCGUGUGUCACUUGAGGCUGUAGGUAUUGUCCAGACAGCUAUAACAUGAAGCUGAUAUUAUUGACCAACUUAACAAGCAGCUGUCAGAUGAAGCUUAAUAAUAUUGACCAAUCAGCUUUAAGCUCAAGGUCACAACCAUCACCCAGCAGAUCAAGCUUAAGUUUUUGUAUUUUAAUCUCGGAAAGAACAGGUGAAAAACAUGUACGUACUGUAUUGAUUUGCUGCCGACGUUUUUUCUGUAUUUGCUAAAGCAGUCAUUAACAGGUUCAGUUUGUGAUUGAGGUUCGGUGUUAGGGAGUAGCAGUCAGCUGAUGUGAGGUGCUCGAACAUGUCCAGUGUGUGUGUGUGUGUGCAAAAUGGCCUACAUGUUGAAAAAUAUCACGAAUGCGACUGUUAAACCGAUAACUAAUCUUUUUUUUUUUGCUGAAGUGGAUGACCCAGACAAUCCAAUUUAACUUAAUAAUCCUCGACAAGAUUAAUUAGGUUAGGUUAGGUUAUUUUAGUUUUUGUCACUUGAAAAUUUUACGUGUUUGCAGCUCUGUUCGUGGUAAUUAUUCCUAACAUAAACCAUCUUGUACACACUAUUUUCUCUGUCAUUUGUGUGUUUCAAAAAGUUACUGAAGAAGUGAGAAAGUCAGUGCAAACUUUUUUAAUAAUACUCCUGUUUUAAGUUUUAUGUAUUAUUGUAGUUUACUAGUGUGUGUGUGUGUGUGUGUGUGUGUGUGUGUGUGUGUGUGUGCCAGUAAUAUUUAAGUAAAUUUUUGUGUUGGUUUACAAGAGAAAAAAUAUUAAAUAACAGAUUUAUUAUGUAAAUUUAACCCUUUAGAGACGAUUCCACGACCCUAGCGAUCCUGCCCAGACAAUUCCCAUGACUCUUAUGAUUUUUACCGCCUGCACAUGAACAAUAAUACAGUACACAAUUAUAUAGGUCCUUAGCCAGCCUACCGUGUACAAAAAUUUACCCGGUGAAAAUUAUUAAAUAAUAUAUAAGUAUUGCAAGUGAAUUGAUUAUCAGAAUUAUACUAAAAUUAUCAUAGUUACUGAUAAUCCUAAACAUAUUCUAUCCUCAAUAAAGCCCAGAAGAUUGUCGCUAAAGGAUCAGGCCUUCGGAUUGGUUGUUACGGCUUCGUUUUUUAUGGAAUUAGAUUUAUUUUGAGUGUAAGAAUGAACGUAGACUGAAGCGAAAACAGUAAUUGUAGUAAAUAUGAAGGGCGAGUGAUUUUGUUGAACUUCCUCCCACACAAGAGAACAAUACAGUAUUUUAAUUAUGUACUUUAGUGUACUCUGGCCGUGGUUGUGUGUGUGUGUGUGUGUUUGUGUGUUCGUUCACCUGGGAUAUUUGUAAUACUAGUUUUAAUUUUUUUUGUAACCAAAGAAACAAUAUGUAAACUGAGUUGAUAAAGAAAAAUAGCUUCAACUCUUGCAUGCUCUUAUUUUGUAUUCAAGAUUGUGAUGUAGUUAGGUAGCACGUAGACCCUAGUAAACGUUAAGUUGUUGUCAACUCUAUGAUGUGAACGUUAGUAGCGUUUGGAGUUUGUCUUUAGUAUGGCCAAUGUGUAUUCUCAUAGCAUUUAUUAUCACACAAGUGGGUUAAUAAGUCAAUUUAUCAUACUGGUUUAUUAUUAUUAUUAUCACACAAAUAGGAUAAAAAAGUCGAUGUAUAAGCCGGGUUUACGAGGUUACGAUAAACCCGGGCGGUCAUUAAUAGUUUAAACACGUGACCAAAUAUUAUUAGACACCACAAGACAAAUCCAAAUUGUACCUCAUAUAUUUUGUAUCUCGAGCAAUAUCUAUUUUAUAAAGGUACGGUGUGUGUAAGUUUAGUACAUGUCUUUGUUAUUCCUUAUUGAGGCUUAAUCCCAGAACUGCCCAUAUAUUUCUAUAGUCUUUGUUCUAGGAGUUUUUUUUAUAUAAUAAUGAUAAAAACUGAUAGGUUACAAUCAUGCUUUGGAACUGAAUGUCAACAGAUUCUGAGACAGUCUUGUUUUUUCUCCGUUUAAUAAUAAGUUUAUUUUCUCCCUAAUUCACUGUUAGCGUCUGAAUAUUGUAAUUAUAUCCGCCAUUGAUAAACAAAACCUUCCAGAUGGAUUACAUUUAUUGAAGAUUAUUUCAAUGUGUUACUGAAAUAUGUCAUUAGUCACAGAUCUUAAACCCUUCACUAUGGGGACGCCACUUUUCAUAGUUUAUUCGGUCAACACAAGAUGAUUUUAUUUUAGCCCAGAGCUGGCCCCAUGCAUGAGAGGUUGAGCGACGGGUUGCCGGCGGAUAGUACUGCGCAAACUGUUGUUAUUGGUGAAGAAGUCUAGCUCGGAAUAUGAAAAACUUUUGUAUUUUUUAUUUCUCCAGUUUUUCCUUCCCUUUAUAGACAAAAUUAAGACCAAACACAGAAUUUUCCUUGACUGGUUAUUAUGUGUUCCUCAAACUGCCUUAACUGUACUGUAUAUCUAACUGGUUUAUUCCUGUUACUUCACACAACCAAAGUAACACAUGUGAUAAGGUACAACACAUUAUUAUUGUUAUUUAUUAUUAUUAGUUGUAGUAAUAUAUCUGAUUUUGGAGCCAGAUAUUCUACUCUAGUGUGGGUAUUUAUGGUACUGCUCUGUGGUGUAUGCCAUCAAUAUACAGCGUCACACUUAAAGCUUUGCCUCAGGCCAGUGUCUUGGGUAUAUACUGCUGAUUGGGUUUAAAUGAUGUUAUGUGUAAAUUAAUUAAAGAACUGUGUAUACCCUUGAAUGUUAUCCUGUGUAUUUUUUUUUACUGCCAAAUUGUGUGUUAGAUGCUGUUGAUAUGUGCAGGAUGGUCUUAAGUGUACGUACAGUUGACAAUAAAAGACCUGUCUCCUCUUCUAUUGCUUCAUGAACCCUGAGAUUCAGACUCGUGAACCCUAAGCAUUUAUGGACAAAAUACUGCAUCAGUCUACUGCUUCGGGUUCAUGAGAGUGAAUCCCAUGGUUCAUGAAGGAACUAGAGGAGACAGGACUUUUGUUUGUGACUGUUCCUAUGUUUACAAUUGUUAAAAUGGAUAAUAUUUCACAAAUUAAAGAUAAAAAUGGUGGUUGGAAUGUAUUGAUAAAACAAACAACGAAUUACUAUAUCAGUGAAAGAAACGAGCAUUAGAGUGAUUUAUACGAGUUCCUAUGACUUUGACUGUUCUGAGGGUUUAUAAGGGAAGCCAAAGUGUGAGUUAAAUAGGACAUUAAAGACGAUAAUUAGACUCUUGGUAUAACAUCGUACAGAACCUUCUUUACGGAGACGAGGAAUGAAUACCCAAAUUACUGAAGACGACGAGAGAUAGACAAGCCGAUGGUCCUCUGAGGUGUUUGAGAGAUAUGUAAGCAAGAUAAUAUUAUACUAUAUUGUGACUUUCUGAACAUUGGUAUUACAGCAACUGUCCAAAAAUUAGAAUUACAAUUAUUAGCUGGAAUAAAAUGCCAUAAAUCAUAAUAUUGUUACUUAUUUUCUGUAAGAUUGUAAUUAGUUUUCAAUGGUUUUCUGCAAUUUGUUAAAGGUCUGAGGUGAGAGUAACAGAUGUUUCUUAUGAAUGGAUCACGUAAAAAAAAAAUCUGUUAAAACGUUUCAUUGGGAUUUAUCUUGGGAAAUAAAUCUUCUGUAUUUAGAUUCUGUGUACAAAAGAAAAUUCUGAAAUAUUUGUACUGUCCUGUAAUCAUUCAUUGUUUUAAUUCUGAACUAUCACAUGUGUUUGUUUUAAGGCAAAUUAAUGUACUGUAUUCACAUAAAUAUAUACACUGUAUCCUAUUUAAGUAUGUAAGAAUAUGAUUGGUGACCUUUUCAGCAGUAAUGGUAUCAGGUUAGAGUUAGGUAUUAAGAUUGCAUUUGGUUUACUUGAAGGUUUGGUGACUGUAGCAUUUCAGAGAUUAGUUCGACAGUUAGUACGUAGUUUGAUGAUGCUUCGUGCGUGUGUGUGUGUGUGUCUGUCUGUGUGUGCGUGUGUGUGUGAGUGGUAUAUACUGUACUGUAUCAUUGUUCAAUACUCAAGGUCAAGUUAUUCUAUGGUCAGUUUUUUAUUAUUUGUUUAUUUUUCUACUGUACUUGGUAAUUCUCCUCCCAUGUUGGUUUGAGUCCAUAUGAUGUACUCAGACUGUCGUGGGAGUCUAUGUUUGAGGCCUCCUGAAUUACUGUAAUUUGUAAUGUCAUCUUUGUAAAUAAAUCUCUCAUCAUUGUAGCAUCAUUAUGGUAAUACACUGAUCUUAUUUUCAGAA
Molecule: long non-coding RNA, 5641 nt
Filed under: Homarus americanus (American lobster)
Lineage: Eukaryota; Metazoa; Arthropoda; Malacostraca; Decapoda; Nephropidae
Description: uncharacterized LOC121868537
Source: RNAcentral